UGCUCUUCUCACUGCCUGAUUACCCAGAUCGGACUGUGUAUGACUAUGUACAUACACACACCGACUGAUCUAACUCACUGGUUCCUCCUCUGUCAUUCGAAGAACAUUCCACAGCAGAGCGUCACACUCCGACUGCAACUGUCAAAACAGUCUCUUCGUAACCCAGCUCAAAACGGUGGACAUAGACACCUCACACUGGCUGCAGCUGGAACAACUGAAUGCUGUGAUGAAAGAAUGAGUGCAAAAAGAACACUCGAAAGACAGUGGAAACAUUUGGGGUUGUUUGGAGUAAAAGAUUCCAGGUGCUCAGUGUAUCACACGUAACUGAACGCUCCAGGCAGAAGAGUUCAUCAAACUGCUCUGGCGAAGCACUGCUGAACGAUGGGCUUCCAGUUACCUGUUUUCCGAGUGCACUGCGGUAAAUUUUGCCGCUAACCGUCUUAGAAAAGCCAAAGUCAACAGGAGCACAGCAACCUCCGGGUUCAAUUCCAUCGGAGCUUGGUGGGUCAUGGCUAGUGUGCUGUUUAGCCAUCUGACCGCUUUUCUCCACAUGAGGGUCCAGUAUACUCUUAGUGGGCUGGUUAAACGGGGACAAAGAUCAUAAAACAUGAUGAGGAUGUUGAUGGGAAUGACAGCAACAUUGUUGUUGAUGCCGCAGGGUGAUGAUGGUAAUGAUAGAGUUCACUUCCUCAGGCUUGUCUAGUGAGGCACAGUUGACAACUGUUGGCCUGUACCUCAGAAGUGCUAUAAUUCCAACAACAAACAAUGUGUCUUUUAAGAUCGGGCAAUACUCCUUGGUAGAGGCCUGAUAAGAGCUAUAUUUACAGCCUCAAUCUUUAUUUCUGAAUGUGGGCUCAGCAGAGUUGCUCCAUUCUAGGUGGCCUCCAAAGCCACAGUGGAGUAUCUUGUGGCAGGGAAAAAGGGCAUUCCAACAGAACUGGGGAAAAGAGUGGGCUGAGGGAGAAACCUCAAGAAAUUUGGGUUGGGGGAGAAUUAUGGAAGACCCAAAAGCCACAGCCCAAGAGAGGAAAUAGGAACUCUGCAUCUCAAGACUCAAUCCUCCUGGCCAAACUUCAUAACAUGUGAUUAAGUCAACUUGCUGCUUUCCACGAAAGAGCCUGGAUUGAAAUCUGCAGCUAUGUUUGCUGAGAUACUCUCUUUUCUCGGAGACUGAUAAAAGCAAGGGUUCGGCAUUAAUGAACCAGCUGACGAGCUCCUGGUCACCACGUCCACCCAUGACUCUAAAUGUUGUGUUUCUCCAAAAACAAAUCCCACCGGUUACAGAAAAAAGAAUACCAGGCAGAACCAAAGCAGUGGUUCCUGAUUAUAUGGAACAUCCAUGCAUGGAACCUGACGUCAGAGAGUGGCCUGCACUCCCUGUGAAAACAAGCAGGGGCAAAGAGAUGGGCAGAAUGAAAGACUGAAAAAGAGGAACGCGAGAUGGGUUGACCCUCUUACAUCCCCUCUGGACCCUCCCCUGUCUAUACAAAUCCCUUGAGAGACAGAUAGUCACGCACCUGGUCCCCACCACAAGCAUAUGCUUAUCUCAGCUCUGCAAAUAGGAUGGCAUGGAAAAGAAAACACACACACACACACUGGGUGCUGGAGUCAUGGAUUCCUACUCCCCAGUCAACCUUUGACGACCUCCAUGGGCUCUCACUCUAUGCCUGAUGGGUUACAGGCUUGAGAGAUAAGCUUUAUGUGGCACUAUGACGGUAUUCAUUUUUCAUCAUUAGCAUCAGAAGAGUGCUUUUCAAGGUUCUCCUACCAUGCUAAUCCUUGCAAAGACUUCUAGUCUGGAGUGAAUCAGAGAUUAUCAGGACAUGGCAUGGUUGGAGGUGAUGGAAGAACUUCCAUUCGAUUUAUUAGUCAUCGUGUCUUUUUCAAAUUGAAGUCUUGAGGCCACCAUGAUGGAGAUGAGUAGUGAAACAGAUUGAAACAAUUCAUUUUUGUGGGAGCAAUUGUGCUCCGUUUCAGAUUCAAAGGGGUCGGAACAAAUGGAAUGUGAACUAUCCUUUUUCAAACAGCAAAACUUAUAAACACACAUUUAGCAAAAACGUCAAAGAAAUUCCAGAUGCCCCGGAGAACAUGUUUGGAACGGGUGGCUUGGCCACAUCCCAAAAAAGAGUGGGUGGAAACAACACUACAUUGAAUUAAAGCCGCAUCCUAAUCCCAGCAGGAAAUCUUCUACUUUCCCCCCAAAACAGUGUUGCCACUUUCCUACUUAGUGGUCAACUUCAAUAACAAUUAAACCUCAUAACUUACUAAAU
Pimephales promelas (fathead minnow) is the source of this 2270-nucleotide non-coding RNA. The record is from RefSeq and is a predicted model, not a curated record. Lineage: Eukaryota; Metazoa; Chordata; Actinopteri; Cypriniformes; Leuciscidae.